AGUCGUUCUGCCCAUUGUUUUUAAAAGGCUGCGGUAUAUUAACUGUACAAAGGUAGCAAAAUAAAUAGUUUUUUAAUUGAAAACUUGAAUGAAAGAGUUGAUAAAAUAUAAAUUGUUUCUAAAAUUUAAUUUAAAUUAAAAGUUAAAAUGCUUUUAUAUAUUUAUUAGACGAUAAGACCCUAAGAAUUUGAUUAUUUAAAUUAUUUUGAAAAAUUUAUUAAAAAUGAAUUAUUUAAUUGGGAGGGUUAUAAAAUAAAACUUUUAUUUAUUAAAAUAUUAAUAAAUAAAUUUAAUGAUUAUUUUUAAGAUUAUAAGAAUAAAUUACCUUAGGGAUAACAGCGUUAUAAUUUUGGAGAGUUCAUAUUGAUAAAAUUGUUUGCGACCUCGAUGUUGAAUUAAAAUAAAAUUUAAAUGAAGAAAUUUAAAUUUUUAGUCUGUUCGACUAUUAAAAUUUUAC
RNAcentral lists this ribosomal RNA (457 nucleotides) under Polybia jurinei. Its description in RNAcentral is "partial large subunit ribosomal RNA". Lineage: Eukaryota; Metazoa; Arthropoda; Insecta; Hymenoptera; Vespidae. The record is from RNAcentral.